RNAcentral lists this ribosomal RNA (439 nucleotides) under uncultured bacterium. Its description in RNAcentral is "bacterial SSU rRNA". It matches the Rfam family "Bacterial small subunit ribosomal RNA", at positions 340 to 772 of the family's 1533-position model. The record is from RNAcentral.
UACGGAAGGCAGCAGUGGGGAAUAUUGCACAAUGGGCGAAAGCCUGAUGCAGCUAUGCCGCGUGUAUGAAGAAGGCCUUAGGGUUGUAAAGUACUUUCAUCGGGGAGGAAAAACAAAACUAAUAAUUUUAUUUCUUGACGUUACCCGAAAAAGAAGCACCGGCUAACUCCGUGCCAGCAGCCGCGGUAAUACGGAGGGUGCUAGCGUUAAUCAGAAUUACUGGGCGUAAAGAGCACGUAGGUGGUUUUUUUAAGUCAGAUGUGAAUCCCUGGGCUUAACCUAGGAACUGCAUUUUGAAACUGAAAUACUAGAGUAUCGUAGAGGGAGGUAGAAUUCUAGGUGUAGCGGUGAAAUGCGUAGAUAUCUGGAGGAAUACCUGUGGCGAAAGCGGCCUCCUAAACGAAUACUGACACUGAGGUGCGAAAGCGUGGGGAGCAAA